UUUAGGAAAGAUUCUUCGGAUGAUUUUCUAUUUGACUGAGCGGCGGACGGGUGAGUAACGCGUGGGUAACCUGCCUCAUACAGGGGGAUAACAGUUAGAAAUGACUGCUAAUACCGCAUAAGACCACAGCACCGCAUGGUGCAGGGGUAAAAACUCCGGUGGUAUGAGAUGGACCCGCGUCUGAUUAGUUAGUUGGUAAGGUAACGGCUUACCAAGGCGACGAUCAGUAGCCGGCUUGAGAGAGUGAACGGCCACAUUGGAACUGAGAGACGGUCCAAACUCC
Molecule: ribosomal RNA, 283 nt
Filed under: uncultured Lachnospiraceae bacterium
Lineage: Bacteria; Bacillati; Bacillota; Clostridia; Lachnospirales; Lachnospiraceae
Description: partial 16S ribosomal RNA
Rfam family: Bacterial small subunit ribosomal RNA (bases 45-283)
Source: RNAcentral